Molecule: ribosomal RNA, 459 nt
Filed under: uncultured bacterium
Lineage: Bacteria
Description: partial 16S ribosomal RNA
Rfam family: Bacterial small subunit ribosomal RNA
Source: RNAcentral
CCUACGGGAGGCAGCAGUGAGGAAUAUUGGUCAAUGGUCGGGAGACUGAACCAGCCAAGCCGCGUGAGGGAUGAAGGUACAGAGUAUCGUAAACCUCUUUUGUCAGGGAACAAAGGCGGGGACGUGUCCCCGGAUGAGUGUACCUGAAGAAAAAGCAUCGGCUAACUCCGUGCCAGCAGCCGCGGUAAUACGGAGGAUGCGGGCGUUAUCCGGAUUUGUUGGGUUUAAGGGGUGCGCAGGCGGUCUGUUAAGUCAGCGGUCAAAGCCCGGGGCUCAACCCCGGCCCGCCGUUGAAACUGGCAGUCUCGAGUUGGAGAGAAGUAUGCGGAAUGCGCGGUGUAGCGGUGAAAUGCAUAGAUAUCGCGCAGAACUCCGAUUGCGAAGGCAGCAUGCCGGCUCCACACUGACGCUGAGGCACGAAAGCGUGGGUAUCGAACAGGAUUAGAUACCCUAGUAGUC